CCCCUCUCAGAUUCACAUCUGGAGAGUUUCCAGUCCUCUACCAGUCUUGACUACGAGAGGGAGAGUCAAGCAGAAGCAUAUUCAUUCCAUUCCUAGCUUGGGCAGUGGCUAGAGAAUAAAAGGCAAUCUGUUACAAGU
Molecule: non-coding RNA, 138 nt
Organism: Ornithorhynchus anatinus (platypus)
Lineage: Eukaryota; Metazoa; Chordata; Mammalia; Monotremata; Ornithorhynchidae
Source: Rfam